GAUGAAGAACGCAGCGAAAUGCGAUAAGUAAUGUGAAUUGCAGAAUUCAGUGAAUCAUCGAAUCUUUGAACGCACAUUGCGCCCCCUGGUAUUCCGGGGGGCAUGCCUGUCCGAGCGUCAUUACAACCCUCAAGCUCAGCUUGGUGUUGGGCCCCGCCGCCCCGGCGGGCCCUACAGUCAGUGGCGGUGCCGUCCGGCUCCGAGCGUAGUAAUUCUUCUCGCUCUGGAGGCCCGGUCGUGUGCUCGCCAGCAACCCCCAAUUUUUUUCAGGUUGACCUCGGAUCAGGUAGGGAUACCCGCUGAACUUAAGCAUAUCAAUAAGCGGAGGA
This 329-nucleotide unclassified non-coding RNA is filed under the name soil metagenome. Its description in RNAcentral is "partial contains 5.8S ribosomal RNA, internal transcribed spacer 2, and large subunit ribosomal RNA". The stretch from base 1 to 120 matches the Rfam family "5.8S ribosomal RNA", at positions 35 to 154 of the family's 154-position model. The record is from RNAcentral.